This 1237-nucleotide long non-coding RNA is filed under the name Strigops habroptila (Kakapo). RNAcentral's name for it is "lncRNA (ENSSHBG00005015806.1)". Lineage: Eukaryota; Metazoa; Chordata; Aves; Psittaciformes; Psittacidae. The record is from RNAcentral.
UUUAAAUGUUUUGGGGUUUUUUUUCUUUUAGUGAACAGAACCAGUCUCUUCAUUUCUUAAAAAUAAAUAACUUGACCUUCUUUAAUCCUAAAAAUAUACCUUUAGAGAUAUACAUCUUUAUUAAGUCUAGAAUUGGUGAGUUAUAUUGAGGCAAUAUUUGCCUGGCCUGGCACUCCAUUAAGGCAUUAUUCAUGUGCAAGACCCAGAUACUCAUACAUACAUUGUUUAACUGAAUUAACACAUUCAUGUUCAUUAAAUUCCUUUUUCAAAUGGUAAAACCAGAAACAUUCUUUAACAAAAUUAGCAAACAUGAAAUAUUUCCCAAAGAGAAAUGCCAUGAACUAGCACAUAAGAACACAUUAUAUAUUUCCAUAUUAGAUAACUAUUUCAUGACCAGAUCAACAAAAGAACUCUUCCAAGUUCAAACUCAAGAAUGGUUAUGAAGAACAGCAUACUAUGACUGAUUGUGACAAAGGCAGAUUUGUAUUUAUGUUACUUGAAAAGUGGAUAAAUAUGUACAUAUGUGAACAGAAUGCAUAUACUUCAUAUAUUUAUAGGAAGUUUUAAGAAGGAAAGAAAAAUAAUGAAACUACCAGUAAUAGCAUUUUACAUCAAUUUUUCAGAAAUAUAAAUAAGAACACAAAGCAUGUAAUGCUCAAUUGUAAUACGGAUUGCUAAGCUUCCUAAUCAUAUUUAACACUGGAAUUCUACAUACUAUUAAAUGGAAAUUUGUACAGAACUCAAUAGCAAAAUUCCCAUUUACUUUAAUAGAGACAAGAUUUAACUCUUGGUCAUAGCACAAAUUACUUCAUGGUUUAUAUUCAGAACAGUUACUUUCCAUAGAGCACAAAAGAGUAAACACUACCAGUACGAUCACAAUUCCUGUCAAAGAAAAGAAAAAUUGCAUCUCAGCAUAUUCCUGAAUGAGAUCAGAAUCUGGACUGUAUGGCUUGGACCAUUUCUUUCUCCAAAUGUACACAGGGUCCAGGGUCACAGGUUUGUCCUGGGAAAUGUAUAUAUAUCUCUAUAAAGAAAUUCCCACAAACAUUCUCACAUAAAGAUGCCAAAGCAAUAAUAAUGUGGAAGUCUCCUCUGCUACCCAUACAUCAAUGUGAAAAUUAUCCAUUUGUUUCAUUCUUACUUAGGUUUUGCACAUUUCAGCAAGACAGGUCCACAACUGGAAGUUGUUUCAAACUUCUCACUUCUUGAAACAUUAGUGGAGCGUUUAUUGGGACUU